GUACUGUUGAAGAGUCCUAAAUCAGGACGAAAAACAGCCGUCCAGUAC
Molecule: non-coding RNA, 48 nt
Filed under: Trichobilharzia regenti
Lineage: Eukaryota; Metazoa; Platyhelminthes; Trematoda; Strigeidida; Schistosomatidae
Source: RNAcentral